This 293-nucleotide ribosomal RNA is filed under the name uncultured bacterium. RNAcentral's name for it is "partial 16S ribosomal RNA". It matches the Rfam family "Bacterial small subunit ribosomal RNA", at positions 505 to 796 of the family's 1533-position model. The record is from RNAcentral.
GUGUCAGCAGCCGCGGUAAUACGUAGGGUCCGAGCGUUGUCCGGAUUUAUUGGGCGUAAAGAGCUCGUAGGCGGCUCAGUAAGUCGGAUGUGAAAACUCAGGGCUCAACCCUGAGACGCCAUCCGAUACUGCUGUGGCUUGAGUCUGGUAGGGGAGAACGGAAUUCCAGGUGUAGCGGUGAAAUGCGCAGAUAUCUGGAGGAACACCGAUGGCGAAGGCAGUUCUCUGGGCCAGUACUGACGCUGAGGAGCGAAAGCGUGGGGAGCAAACAGGAUUAGAAACCCCCGUAGUCC